Oncorhynchus tshawytscha (Chinook salmon) is the source of this 1103-nucleotide long non-coding RNA. RefSeq lists it as uncharacterized. NCBI's taxonomy places the organism in Eukaryota, Metazoa, Chordata, Actinopteri, Salmoniformes, Salmonidae. The record is from RefSeq and is a predicted model, not a curated record. The transcript has 6 exons.
CAAUAACAGUGGAGGCUGGCUCAGCUGGGUCUUUGGGAGUGGAAGAGCUAAUAAGAAGGAGGUUCAUCUACCUGAGGACAAAGACAGAUCUAUUGUCUGGGAUCCAACUCUGCACAGAUGGGUUAACAAAACUGAGCCCAAGGCUGAGGACAAGUGUGUACCACCACCUCCACCGAUGGGGACAUAUGGAUAUCAGGGGAACACUGGCAGUGUCCCCAAAGGAGUGAAUCCUUACUCUAUGAAAGCAGCAGGUCUAUGGGGCAGCAGAUACCCUACAAUGCAUUUCAAUGAUGGGACCAACUCAAAGCCUCCAAGCCAUGGGCCUGGACUGCUUACUAGACAGCUCUCUGGCUUGCUCCCUCCUUCACACUUUGACCUCAUGGCACCAAUGGUUGUGCCACCUGACACUCUACCUUACUGAGGUGACCGGGUGCCAUAGAAUUGACCUGGAUGGAUGUGCCUAGCGACAAGCUGCUGGAGCCCAUCAUCUGCAUGUCUGACAUGCUGUGCUCACUAUCCACCACGCAACCCACAGUCAACAUGGAGGUCUUGUUCAAGGUCAGGAAGUUCACAGAGGACUUAGAGCAGGAGGGUUGAGAGGCCCUACUACUCCUUACUCAGUCUCUCCUAUCAAGACCCAACUCCAGUCAAAUAGUAGCUACAGUAGUACAACACUACGAACCUGCAUUGGCAGGAAUGAUGGAGCAUUUAAAUUUACACACAAUUGGACAAUGGAAAUGUUUUUUUUGCAUACCCCAACUCCCUCUGAGACACCCACAAGUGCCUUGCUCAAGGGCACAGCGACAUCAUUAUUUAUUUCCCCAUGUGGUCGGCUCUGGUAUUUGAGCCAGCAACCUUUCGGUAACUGGCCCAAUGAUCUAAUCUUGAGGCUACGUGCCGCCCCUUAGAAUGUAGGGUGACUCCCCUAGUGGGUCCUGAACCCAGGUCAGCAGCACUACAUUCCUGUGUGUCUGUAUAGUUGAGGGUAUAUUGGUUUAGUAAUACUCAAUUCAGUUCUGGUACCAGAGGGGACCUCAAUGCUGUUACACGUAGCCAUGGUCGCCAAGCUACCCUGACUUAAUAAAACCUGAAUUCAAAAAGAA